RNAcentral lists this long non-coding RNA (2833 nucleotides) under Triticum aestivum (bread wheat). RNAcentral describes it as "long non-coding RNA (TAES_LNC027213)". Lineage: Eukaryota; Viridiplantae; Streptophyta; Magnoliopsida; Poales; Poaceae. The record is from RNAcentral.
UCCUGUUCGUGGACGGCGUUGGAGAACAGCGUUUCUAUAGCUCCGCAUCGGACGCGAGCGCGGCAUGGAGCAGCUGCCUCCUCUCCCGAGACGAGAAAGCCCAUAGCCCCCUCAAAUAGCAUGGUAUAAUUUUUUCUUAUUAUUCACCCUGAAUCUGGCGUACACAUACAGUACAUGCUUAUGUAUUGUCUUAAUGAUUAUCCUAUUUUUUAGGAUGAACUUGCGUUUUGUGCAAUGUCACCAGUUCAUGAGGUACAAUAUGAGUGUAUUUUGGAAUUGAUUCAGAGGCAUGUUACAGAAGGGGAGCCUUGGCGCAGUGGUAAAGCUGCUGCCUUGUGACCAUGAGGUCAUGGGUUCAAGUCCUGGAAACAGCCUCUUACAGAAAUGUAGGGAGAGGCUGCGUACUAUAGACCCAAAGUGGUCGGACCCUUCCCUGGACCCUGCGCAAGCGGGAGCUACAUGCACCAGGUUGCCCUUUUUUAUUCAGAGGCAUGUUAAUUUUGGAGUAGAGUAUAUCUUGGAAUUGAUUCAGAUGCAUGUUAAUUUUGGAGUAGCUUGCAUUUUAUUCCACAGGAAUAAAAUUGAUAUACUCAAUUAACAAAUUCUUUUUUGAUAUGUUUGUAAUCAGUCAAUCAUUUAGAUAGAAUGAGUCUGGACCUCGUGGAGAAACAACAAUCGCCGGUAACCUUGAAAGUUUAUGUUCAAGGAAGAUGUUGGUUAAUUUCUUUGAGAUGGAGUGGUACAAAUGGUUCUAUUUUUUUUGCAUACUGGAUUUGUUCCCCUAUGGCUGUCUGCAUCAUCGUUUUAUCCGUGCAUGUGCCUGGAGGAGAUCAUCCUUUCAUCCGUGCAUGUGCUUGGAGGAGAUCCAGGAAUGUCCGGCAUGAGAAAGCUCAAAGCCGAGUCCUCCACCCAGGCCCUCCUUUGCAAGGUCGGCGAGGACACUGCUCUGUACAUGUGCUCCUCUCCCACCCCUCCACUGAUUUAAUGUGAAAUCUAAUUGGGAGGUAUUGAUAAGCACCAAUGUAUCCUUGGUUUAAUUAGUUCCCAUGUCUUGAGUUACUUUGAUCCUCUUGGUAAGAUCAAACCGAUGAAUACCUUUCAGGUCUCUCCGAUACGAAGUAAGCGAUACAAAUGCAAGGAUUGCACAUAAGUAAUUGGAUUUGACCCCAGUUAAUUUAUUGCCUGUUUAACAAUGCAGAAAGAAGAGUUGCUACACCGGAACCUAGGCCAUGCAGUGAUUCAUAUUUUGGUUGCGCGGCUGUUUCUAUGCUGUUCAUCCGAGGUAAAUUUUAAAAUGAUGCAUUGCUUCACCCUGCUAUAUCCCGACGCUCUCAUAGUUUAAUCUAUCCGUGUAUACACAUCUUUCUUGGUGAUUGUAUUUUUCAUGUUGCCUGUCGAUGGAUCUCGCAACCUAACACGCAGAGCUAGAUAAAUUGUAGUUAUUGUUGUAUAACGAUUGGUUUUGGUAAAAUUUCAUGCGUUAUAUGUUUUUGUGGGUUUUGAUAAAACCACUUCUGAUCUUCAGAGAUAUAUGUUUGGUACUUGCUCUACACAUAUAUGCCUGGCGCUCCAGCUCGUGCAUUCAUUUGAUCUGACAUGACGUACAUGUACAGAGCAACUUUGUAUAGUGUUGUUAGCUGGUGGUCUAUAUAAUUUAAGGUAAUGUAUGUGACUUAAGAUGAUGCAUUCAUGAAUUAAGCAUGGAUCUUAGAUUGCGCUGGGACUGCUUCCGAGGAUGCAGGUUUCCGAUCGUAAUAUAGACCUUUCAAAACAUUAUGUGUCAUGCCUGCACAGUACUUGAAACAUAAUUACACUGCAUAUAUUUAGCAAAUUUGCAUACUACUAUUGUUUAAGUAAAAAAAUGUGAACUUCAAAUUAUAUAGUGGCUUCAGAUUAUUUUCUCAAAAACCAAGAGAUCUUUUGGGGUUUGCAGUAGUCUGGUUUACAAGAGAUAGCCACAUGUCUUUAUAAAUUUAAAUUGUGAGCAAAACAUAGUGGAACAGAACUGAAGCUAUUUCCUUCAGUAUCGUCUAUGUCUACUUGACGUUUCCAUAGAAGCUAAUGUAACUAUCCCGCAACCUGAAAAUACCGUAUGAUGUCCAGAGAAGAUUUCUGCUUACAUGUGAAUGGUUCUACUGCUGUUCUAAGUGAUUUCUUGAAGUUCUUCCUAUUUUCCCAUAUCAUCUGCAAGCUGACCAAAUUAAUCCUUAUUUGUUUGCCAGGUUUGUCAAACAUCGCUUCAUGUUGUAGUGCAUUUUUUCCUUUCAAAAUCCAUUUUAUGCCAUUUGGAUUUAUAACUGUCAGUUUAUUAUUUGUGGAGAACAGGAGAUAAGGAAAAGGGGAGGGGAAAAACAGUAAUUCUAGCAACUGGCGUUUGUUCCGUACCAAAGCUCGGGAGUUCAUUCUAUUGUGUGCAUCAGAAGUCUAUACAUAUGAGUUGGCACUCGGAGAGUGACAUAGAUUUUCUUGAGGUUAUGAUUUUUUUAUCUACUAUUACUUGAAUCUUUCUUACCUGAGUUUUUUUUCUUGGAGUUCUUCCUGUUUCCCAUAUCACCUGCUCUAUAUAAGCUGCUCCAUAAAAUUAAGUACGCGCAUCCUCCUUUAUUGGCCAAGUUUGUUCUAUUAUACUAAUCUGAAGUCUGUACAAAGGACUUGGGACGGAGUGAAGCAGAUUUGCUUGAAGUUUUGAAUUAUUUACCAAAGUAGGGUUUGCAUAUUAUACUAUCCUAGAUUACAUGGCUAAGCAACUCAAUUAUACUGGUAAUACUUUGAAAUGGUUGUCUGUUCUGCCGGAGUACUCAUAUGCCAUAUUAAUUUCUGAGGAACAAUUUAU